This 204-nucleotide long non-coding RNA is filed under the name Vigna radiata. RNAcentral's name for it is "long non-coding RNA (VRAD_LNC015250)". Lineage: Eukaryota; Viridiplantae; Streptophyta; Magnoliopsida; Fabales; Fabaceae. The record is from RNAcentral.
CUGGUUAGUAACAGAAGAGUAAUAUGCUUAACAAAUGUGGAGGCUUUUUCCCUUAGAAUAAGUUGGGGCAUUCUUGGGGCAUUUUUGUUAACUUCAUUAGCAUCAUUUUUAUAUCAGUUAUGGGAAACACUGCAGAGCAUGCCAGCUUAAUCAUUUUCCGUUUCAAGAACAAGUUGGUAUGGGUUUUCACAUCAAUUAUUUUGC